Molecule: ribosomal RNA, 77 nt
Filed under: Janthinobacterium sp. PC23-8
Lineage: Bacteria; Pseudomonadati; Pseudomonadota; Betaproteobacteria; Burkholderiales; Oxalobacteraceae
Description: partial 23S ribosomal RNA
Source: RNAcentral
GGUGUGGAAGUGCAGUAAUGCAUUAAGCUAACCAGUACUAAUUGCCCGUACGGCUUGUCCCUAUAACCUUAGCAGGU